ACGGGAGGCAGCAGUGAGGAAUAUUGGUCAAUGGGCGAGAGCCUGAACCAGCCAUGUCGCGUGGAGGAAUAAGGAUCUAUGGUUCGUAAACUCCUUUUGCGGGGGGAUAAAGUGCGGGACGUGUCCCGCUUUGCAGGUACCCCGCGAAUAAGCAUCGGCUAACUCCGUGCCAGCAGCCGCGGUAAUACGGAGGAUGCAAGCGUUAUCCGGAUUUAUUGGGUUUAAAGGGUGCGUAGGCUGUGGACCAAGUCAGUGGUGAAAGCCCGGGGCUCAACUCCGGAACUGCCAUUGAUACUGGCCCGCUGGAAUACGGAUGCCGUGGGAGGAAUGAGUAGUGUAGCGGUGAAAUGCAUAGAUAUUACUCAGAACACCGAUUGCGAAGGCAUCUCACGAAUCCGUCAUUGACGCUGAGGCACGAAAGCGUGGGGAUCAAACAGGAUUAGAUACCCUGGUA
This 454-nucleotide ribosomal RNA is filed under the name uncultured bacterium. RNAcentral's name for it is "partial 16S ribosomal RNA". It matches the Rfam family "Bacterial small subunit ribosomal RNA", at positions 341 to 792 of the family's 1533-position model. The record is from RNAcentral.